RNAcentral lists this ribosomal RNA (180 nucleotides) under uncultured bacterium. Its description in RNAcentral is "partial 16S ribosomal RNA". It matches the Rfam family "Bacterial small subunit ribosomal RNA", at positions 338 to 515 of the family's 1533-position model. The record is from RNAcentral.
CCUACGGGAGGCAGCAGUGAGGAAUAUUGGUCAAUGGGCGAGAGCCUGAACCAGCCAAGUAGCGUGCAGGAUGACGGCCCUAUGGGUUGUAAACUGCUUUUAUAAGGGAAUAAAGUGGGUCACGUGUGACUUUUUGCAUGUACCUUAUGAAUAAGGACCGGCUAAUUCCGUGCCAGCAGC